RNAcentral lists this transfer RNA (86 nucleotides) under Streptomyces hygroscopicus subsp. hygroscopicus. Its description in RNAcentral is "tRNA-Ser". Lineage: Bacteria; Bacillati; Actinomycetota; Actinomycetes; Kitasatosporales; Streptomycetaceae. The record is from RNAcentral.
UUCCGCCGGAGGACCGCGUCGGGCCGGCGGGGCUCGAACCCACGCCCGGAACCGGGCCGGCGGGGUUCGAACCCGCGACCGGAACC